This 373-nucleotide ribosomal RNA is filed under the name uncultured bacterium. RNAcentral's name for it is "bacterial SSU rRNA". It matches the Rfam family "Bacterial small subunit ribosomal RNA", at positions 525 to 896 of the family's 1533-position model. The record is from RNAcentral.
ACAUAGGGUGCAAGCGUUGUCCGGAAUUAUUGGGCGUAAAGAGCUCGUAGGUCGUUUGUUACGUCGGAUGUGAAAACCUGAGGCUCAACCUCAGGCCUGCAUUCGAUACGGGCAAACUAGAGUUUGGUAGGGGAGACUGGAAUUCCUGGUGUAGCGGUGGAAUGCGCAGAUAUCAGGAGGAACACCAAUGGCGAAGGCAGGUCUCUGGGCCAAUACUGACACUGAGGAGCGAAAGUCUGGGGAGCGAACAGGAUUAGAUACCCUGGUAGUCCAGACCGUAAACGGUGGGCACUAGUUGUGGGAACCUUCCACGGUUUCUGCGACGCAGCUAACGCAUUAAGUGCCCCGCCUGGGGAGUACGAUCGCAAGAUUA